GACGAACGCUGGCGGCGUGCUUAACACAUGCAAGUCGAACGGAAAGGCCCUGCUUUUGUGGGGUGCUCGAGUGGCGAACGGGUGAGUAACACGUGAGUAAACUGCCCUUGACUUUGGGAUAACUUCAGGAAACUGGGGCUAAUACCGGAUAGGAGCUCCUGCUGCAUGGUGGGGGUUGGAAAGUUUCGGCGGUUGGGGAUGGACUCGCGGCUUAUCAGCUUGUUGGUGGGGUAGUGGCUUACCAAGGCUUUGACGGGUAGCCGGCCUGAGAGGGUGACCGCCCACAUUGGGACUGAGAUACGGCCCAGACUCCUACGGGAGGCAGCAGUGGGGAAUAUUGCACAAUGGGCGGAAGCCUGAUGCAGCAACGCCGCGUGCGGGAUGACGGCCUUCGGGUUGUAAACCGCUUUCGCCUGUGACGAAGCGUGAGUGACGGUAAUGGGUAAAGAAGCACCGGCUAACUACGUG
This 468-nucleotide ribosomal RNA is filed under the name uncultured bacterium. RNAcentral's name for it is "partial 16S ribosomal RNA". It matches the Rfam family "Bacterial small subunit ribosomal RNA", at positions 28 to 507 of the family's 1533-position model. The record is from RNAcentral.